GGGGGGAAAACAGACGUCGCGGUGAAUACGUUCUACGGGGUUUCGUACACACCGCCCGCCAAACCACGUAAAGUUGGGCAAUA
RNAcentral lists this transfer RNA (83 nucleotides) under Cuban papaya phytoplasma. RNAcentral's name for it is "tRNA-Ile". Lineage: Bacteria; Bacillati; Mycoplasmatota; Mollicutes; Acholeplasmatales; Acholeplasmataceae. The record is from RNAcentral.